This 497-nucleotide ribosomal RNA is filed under the name uncultured bacterium. Its description in RNAcentral is "partial 16S ribosomal RNA". It matches the Rfam family "Bacterial small subunit ribosomal RNA", at positions 28 to 507 of the family's 1533-position model. The record is from RNAcentral.
GAUGAACGCUGGCGGCGUGCCUAAUACAUGCAAGUCGAGCGAACGGACGAGAAGCUUGCUUUUCUGAUGUUAGCGGCGGACGGGUGAGUAACACGUGGAUAACCUACCUAUAAGACUGGGAUAACUUCGGGAAACCGGAGCUAAUACCGGAUAAUAUUUUGAACCGCAUGGUUCAAAAGUGAAAGACGGUCUUGCUGUCACUUAUAGAUGGAUCCGCGCUGCAUUAGCUAGUUGGUAAGGUAACGGCUUACCAAGGCAACGAUGCAUAGACGACCUGAGAGAGGGAUCGGCCACACUGGAACUGAGACACGGUCCAGACUCCUACGGGAGGCAGCAGUAGGGAAUCUUACGCAAUGGGCGAAAGCCUGACGGAGCAACGCCGCGCGAGUGAUGAAGGUCUUCGGAUCGUAAAACUCUGUUAUUAGGGAAGAACAUAUGUGUAAGUAACUGUGCACAUCUUGACGGUACCUAAUCAGAAAGCCACGGCUAACUACGUG